UUUUAUGAGAGUUUGAUCCUGGCUCAGGACGAACGCUGGCGGCGUGCCUAAUACAUGCAAGUCGCACGCUUCUUUUUCCACCGGCGCUUGCUCCACCGGCAAAAGAAGAGUGGCGUAUGGGAGCGGAACACGUGUGCACCGAACGCAAAGGAAGGGGGA
This 159-nucleotide ribosomal RNA is filed under the name Enterococcus faecium. RNAcentral describes it as "partial 16S ribosomal RNA". It matches the Rfam family "Bacterial small subunit ribosomal RNA", at positions 1 to 144 of the family's 1533-position model. The record is from RNAcentral. Lineage: Bacteria; Bacillati; Bacillota; Bacilli; Lactobacillales; Enterococcaceae.